This 1015-nucleotide long non-coding RNA is filed under the name Anas zonorhyncha (Eastern spot-billed duck). RNAcentral describes it as "lncRNA (ENSAZOG00000002973.1)". The record is from RNAcentral. Lineage: Eukaryota; Metazoa; Chordata; Aves; Anseriformes; Anatidae.
UGGCCAUCAUCUUAGCCUAUCAAUUCAUAAAAGAAGCAAAAGGCAAAAAAAAUGAAUUUUUCAUGUCAGACUUUGGCCAAGGUCUUCUACCAGUGAAACCUUUGGCUUCUACUCAACAUACAGAAAUGCUGUUAUCUAAAAUGCGUCCUUUGAUGCUUAUGGACUGCCACUCUGCAAAGCAUAAUUAGGGCUAGUGUGUAAAUACCCUAUAACAAAGCUGGACACCUAUCAACCUGAGCAGCCUCCAAGUGUGAAUAUCUCUCUUAUGUUCCCUUUUGACACAGGUGGCCAGACAUAAUCAUCUCCAUUGCAACUGAUAUCACUGAGGAGCAGUUGCCAAAUAGGCAAGCCUGAUUAAGUUUUGGCUAUUUUGUCAAGCUAUGCUUUUAAAAUAACUGAAACAACCCACUUUCAUCUCUGUGCCUGCCUUGGACAAGAACUGGUUUUGUUUUACCAUGUUUUAUGGAGCAAAACUUAGUGUCAGCAUUUCAUAAAUAUGGAAUGUCUUUUCCAUGCUCUAAGUUAUGUUUUAAUUUUAAUACAGUAGGCAGUUGCUUAGUUCAGUCUAAUUUAGUUGCUGCGUGAAAACUGAGAGGUAUCUGUUGUCAUUUUUUGCAGAACCUGGCUAUGGCUCUGAUCUUCUAGCAAAUUCACAGCAGAAUGGUUUUGCCAGCUUCAGCUGAUUUCUUCUUGAUAUCUUUUGACAGAAGCUGCCCGGUAGGUUUUGCUGCUAAACCAAGGAUGACAUUAAGCCGGGUGCUCCCUCAGCUGCAGCCGAGCCGCGGCUGACUCCUGGUGAGCGGCAAGAGCCCCGCAGUGCCCAGGCGCCGUGGAUGUUGCAGCCCAGCAGCAGCAGCAGCAGCAGCGUUGCGGCGUGCCUCCUGCCACACACACCCUUGGCAGCCAGACGUUGCCCUUUUAAGAAGCCCGGGUGCUGGCUCAGGUAGGCAGAGCCUGUGUGCAGUAGUCGCUCCUAUGGCAACCCAAUAGAAUGGGAUCGCUUCAUGAAUAUUCU